Molecule: long non-coding RNA, 261 nt
Organism: Apis florea (little honeybee)
Lineage: Eukaryota; Metazoa; Arthropoda; Insecta; Hymenoptera; Apidae
Source: RefSeq, a predicted model, not a curated record
UUUCUAACUUACCAUUUUACACGAAAUGUUCGAAACUUAAAAAAAAACUGCCUGCACCUUUGCCUGCAUGGACAACAUCAUUUCCAUUUAAUCCAAAUAAAAAUUCCAUGUGAUUUAUAGUGCGUAGAACGCUGAAGAACGGCCUCUCGGAAGAGGAGAAGAAGCACAUCGCCACCUACAUCAAGGGCUACUGACUGUGAUAAAACUCGAAUCCUGUAGCUCGUCCACAAGAAGGGAGGAGGGAAGAUUUAUAAGCAGGAA